GACGAACGCUGGCGGCGUGCUUAACACAUGCAAGUCGAACGGAAAGGCCCCUUUGGGGGUACUCGAGUGGCGAACGGGUGCGUAACACGUGAGUAACCUGCCCUUGACUUCGGGAUAACUUCAGGAAACUGGGGCUAAUACCGGAUAGGAAUCCUUGCUGCAUGGUGGGGGUUGGAAAGCUUCGGCGGUGUUGGAUGGACUCGCGGCUUAUCAGCUUGUUGGUGGGGUAGUGGCUUACCAAGGCUUUGACGGGUAGCCGGCCUGAGAGGGCGACCGGCCACAUUGGGACUGAGAUACGGCCCAGACUCCUACGGGAGGCAGCAGUGGGGAAUAUUGCACAAUGGGCGGAAGCCUGAUGCAGCAACGCCGCGGGCGGGAUGACGGCCUUCGGGUUGUAAACCGCUUUCAGCAGGGGCGAAGCUUGUGGUGACGGUACCUGCAGAAGAAGCACCGGCUAACUACGUG
Molecule: ribosomal RNA, 465 nt
Filed under: uncultured bacterium
Lineage: Bacteria
Description: partial 16S ribosomal RNA
Rfam family: Bacterial small subunit ribosomal RNA
Source: RNAcentral